Oncorhynchus keta (chum salmon) is the source of this 812-nucleotide long non-coding RNA. RefSeq lists it as uncharacterized. The record is from RefSeq and is a predicted model, not a curated record. Lineage: Eukaryota; Metazoa; Chordata; Actinopteri; Salmoniformes; Salmonidae. The transcript is spliced from 3 exons.
AGAUGUCUAUAGGACCCCUCCACAACAGAGACCAGCUAGAUGUCUAUAGGUUCCCCUGACCCCUCCACAACAGAGACCAGCUAGAUGUCUAUAGGUCCCCUCCACAACAGAGACCAGCUAGAUGUCUAUAGGUUCCCCUGACCCCUCCACAACAGAGACCAGCUAGAUGUCUAUAGGACCCCUGACCCCUCCACAACAGAGACCAGCUAGAUGUCUAUAGGACCCCUGACCCCUCCACAACAGAGACCAGCUAGAUGUCUAUAGGUCCCCUGACCCCUCCACAACAGAGACCAGCUAGAUGUCUAUAGGUCCCCUGACCCCUCCACAACAGAGACCAGCUAGAUGUCUAUAGGUCCCCUGACCCCUUCACAACAGAGACCAGCUAAAUGUCUAUAGGUCCCCUCCACAACAGAGACCAGCCAGAUGUCUAUAGAUCCCCUCCACAACAGAGACCAGCUAGAUGUCUAUAGGUCCCCUCCACAACAGAGACCAGCUAGAUGUCUAUAGGUCCCCUGACCCCUUCACAACAGAGACCAGCUAAAUGUCUAUAGGUCCCCUCCACAACAGAGACCAGCUAGAUGUCUAUAGGUCCCCUCCACAACAGAGACCAGCCAGAUGUCUAUAGAUCCCCUCCACAACAGAGACCAGCUAGAUGUCUAUAGGUCCCCUGACUCUUCCACAACAGAGACCAGCUGGAUGUCUAUAGGUUCCCCUGACCCCUCUACAACAGAGACCAGCUUGAUGUCUAUACGUCCCCUCCACAACAGAGACCAGCUAGAUGUCUAUAUGUCCCCUCCACAGCAGAGACAAGC